This 598-nucleotide ribosomal RNA is filed under the name uncultured bacterium. RNAcentral's name for it is "bacterial SSU rRNA". It matches the Rfam family "Bacterial small subunit ribosomal RNA", at positions 886 to 1482 of the family's 1533-position model. The record is from RNAcentral.
CCGCAAGGCUAAAACUCAAAGGAAUUGACGGGGGCCCGCACAAGCGGCGGAGCAUGCGGAUUAAUUCGAUGCAACGCGAAGAACCUUACCAAGGCUUGACAUACACCGGAAUCGGCCAGAGAUGGUCGCGUCUUCGGACUGGUGUACAGGUGGUGCAUGGUUGUCGUCAGCUCGUGUCGUGAGAUGUUGGGUUAAGUCCCGCAACGAGCGCAACCCUCGUCCUAUGUUGCCAGCACGUCAUGGUGGGGACUCAUAGGAGACUGCCGGGGUCAACUCGGAGGAAGGUGGGGAUGACGUCAAAUCAUCAUGCCCCUUAUGUCUUGGGCUUCACGCAUGCUACAAUGGCCGGUACAAAGGGCUGCGAUACCGCGAGGUGGAGCGAAUCCCAAAAAGCCGGUCUCAGUUCGGAUUGGGGUCUGCAACUCGACCCCAUGAAGUCGGAGUCGCUAGUAAUCGCAGAUCAGCAACGCUGCGGUGAAUACGUUCCCGGGCCUUGUACACACCGCCCGUCAAGUCACGAAAGUCGGUAACACCCGAAGCCGGUGGCCUAACCCCUUGUGGGAUGGAGCCGUCGAAGGUGGGAUUGGCGAUUGGGACU